UUCCGGUUGAUCCUGCCGGACCUGACUGCUAUCGGAUUGAUACUAAGCCAUGCGAGUCAUUGUAGCAAUACAAGGCAGACGGCUCAGUAACGCGUAGUCAACCUGCCCUAUGGACGGGAAUAANCUCGGGAAACUGAGUAUAAUGCCCGAUAGAACAUUAUACCUGGAAUGGUUUAUGUUCCAAAUGAUUUAUCGCCGUAGGAUGGGACUGCGGCCUAUCAGUUUGUUGGUGAGGUAAUGGCCCACCAAGACUAUUACAGGUACGGGCUCUGAGAGGAGUAGCCCGGAGAUGGGUACUGAGACACGGACCCAGGCCCUAUGGGGCGCAGCAGGCGAGAAAACUUUGCAAUGUGCGAAAGCACGACAAGGUUAAUCCGAGUGGUUUCUGCUAAAGGAACCUUUUGUUAGUCCUAGAAACACUAACGAAUAAGGGGUGGGCAAGUUCUGGUGUCAGCCGCCGCGGUAAAACCAGCACCUCAAGUGGUCAGGAUGAUUAUUGGGCCUAAAGCAUCCGUAGCCGGCUCUGUAAGUUUUCGGUUAAAUCUGUACGCUUAACGUACAGGCUGCCGGGAAUACUGCAGAGCUAGGGAGUGGGAGAGGUAGACGGUACUCGGGAGGAAGUGGUAAAAUGCUUUGAUCUCUCGAUGACCACCUGUGGCGAAGGCGGUCUACCAGAACACGUCCGACGGUGAGGGAUGAAAGCUGGGGGAGCAAACCGGAUUAGAUACCCGGGUAGUCCCAGCUGUAAACUAUGCAAACUCAGUGAUGCAUUGGCUUGUGGCCAAUGCAGUGUUGCAGGGAAGCCGUUAAGUUUGCCGCCUGGGAAGUACGUACGCAAGUAUGAAACUUAAAGGAAUUGGCGGGGGAGCACCACAAGGGGUGAAGCCUGCGGUUCNAUUGGAGUCAACGCCGGAA
Molecule: ribosomal RNA, 915 nt
Filed under: uncultured crenarchaeote
Lineage: Archaea; Thermoproteati; Thermoproteota
Description: bacterial SSU rRNA
Rfam family: Archaeal small subunit ribosomal RNA
Source: RNAcentral